Molecule: ribosomal RNA, 253 nt
Filed under: uncultured bacterium
Lineage: Bacteria
Description: partial 16S ribosomal RNA
Rfam family: Bacterial small subunit ribosomal RNA
Source: RNAcentral
UACGUAGGGUCCGAGCGUUGUCCGGAAUUACUGGGCGUAGAGAGCUCGUAGGUGGUUUGUCGCGUUGUUCGUGAAAACUCACAGCUCAACUGUGGGCGUGCGGGCGAUACGGGCAGACUGGAGUACUGCAGGGGAGACUGGAAUUCCUGGUGUAGCGGUGGAAUGCGCAGAUAUCAGGAGGAACACCGGUGGCGAAGGCGGGUCUCUGGGCAGUAACUGACGCUGAGGAGCGAAAGCGUGGGGAGCGAACAGG